GAUGAACGCUGGCGGCGUGCCUAAUACAUGCAAGUCGAGCGAACGGACGAGAAGCUUGCUUCUCUGAUGUUAGCGGCGGACGGGUGAGUAACACGUGGAUAACCUACCUAUAAGACUGGGAUAACUUCGGGAAACCGGAGCUAAUACCGGAUAAUAUUUUGAACCGCAUGGUUCAAAAGUGAAAGACGGUCUUGCUGUCACUUAUAGAUGGAUCCGCGCUGCAUUAGCUAGUUGGUAAGGUAACGGCUUACCAAGGCAACGAUGCAUAGCCGACCUGAGAGGGUGAUCGGCCACACUGGAACUGAGACACGGUCCAGACUCCUACGGGAGGCAGCAGUAGGGAAUCUUCCGCAAUGGGCGAAAGCCUGACGGAGCAACGCCGCGUGAGUGAUGAAGGUCUUCGGAUCGUAAAACUCUGUUAUUAGGGAAGAACAUAUGUGUAAGUAACUGUGCACAUCUUGACGGUACCUAAUCAGAAAGCCACGGCUAACUACGUGCCAGCAGCCGCGGUAAUACGUAGGUGGCAAGCGUUAUCCGGAAUUAUUGGGCGUAAAGCGCGCGUAGGCGGUUUUUUAAGUCUGAUGUGAAAGCCCACGGCUCAACCGUGGAGGGUCAUUGGAAACUGGAAAACUUGAGUGCAAAAGAGGAAAGUGGAAUUCCAUGUGUAGCGGUGAAAUGCGCAGAGAUAUGGAGGAACACCAGUGGCGAAGGCGACUUUCUGGUCUGUAACUGACGCUGAUGUGCGAAAGCGUGGGGAUCAAACAGGAUUAGAUACCCUGGUAGUCCACGCCGUAAACGAUGAGUGCUAAGUGUUAGGGGGUUUCCGCCCCUUAGUGCUGCAGCUAACGCAUUAAGCACUCCGCCUGGGGAGUACGACCGCAAGGUUGAAACUCAAAGGAAUUGACGGGGACCCGCACAAGCGGUGGAGCAUGUGGUUUAAUUCGAAGCAACGCGAAGAACCUUACCAAAUCUUGACAUCCUUUGACAACUCUAGAGAUAGAGCCUUCCCCUUCGGGGGACAAAGUGACAGGUGGUGCAUGGUUGUCGUCAGCUCGUGUCGUGAGAUGUUGGGUUAAGUCCCGCAACGAGCGCAACCCUUAAGCUUAGUUGCCAUCAUUAAGUUGGGCACUCUAAGUUGACUGCCGGUGACAAACCGGAGGAAGGUGGGGAUGACGUCAAAUCAUCAUGCCCCUUAUGAUUUGGGCUACACACGUGCUACAAUGGACAAUACAAAGGGCAGCGAAACCGCGAGGUCAAGCAAAUCCCAUAAAGUUGUUCUCAGUUCGGAUUGUAGUCUGCAACUCGACUACAUGAAGCUGGAAUCGCUAGUAAUCGUAGAUCAGCAUGCUACGGUGAAUACGUUCCCGGGUCU
Molecule: ribosomal RNA, 1372 nt
Filed under: uncultured bacterium
Lineage: Bacteria
Description: bacterial SSU rRNA
Rfam family: Bacterial small subunit ribosomal RNA
Source: RNAcentral